This 710-nucleotide long non-coding RNA is filed under the name Homo sapiens (human). Its description in RNAcentral is "HSALNT0024556". The record is from RNAcentral. Lineage: Eukaryota; Metazoa; Chordata; Mammalia; Primates; Hominidae.
GUCAAGGAAUGUACUGAAUGUGUUUCACUUUUACACCAUCAUAAAAUUAAAAAGUCGUAAGUCAGGGAAAAUCUGUACUGCAAGAAAAACACUGUUAACCUAGAUAUCUUUGCCUAGUGAAAAUAUCUUUCAGAAAUGAAGAUGAGAUAAAGGCUUUUCAUACCAACAAAAGUGGAAAGAAUUCAUCAUAAGAAGACUUGAGUGAGAAGAAAUGCUAAGAAAGCUCUUCAAGUAGAAGAAAAUGAUACCAGAUGGAAAUCUGGAUCUCCACAAAGGAACAAAAAGUAUUGAGAAUGGGAACUAUCCUAUGUGGAAAAUGGUAACUCAUCAAACCUGCAGCAGAAGGCAACUUUUCAACUCUCAGUCAAUUUGAUCAACAUUCAGCAUCCAUCAAAUGAAGGAUUGGGAGUGAUAACCUUAAAAAAUCCUGCUAGGCUGCUGGUUAUUGAUUCUCUGUUCAGCCUGAUGGAUGAAGAUGCAAAGGCAACAAGUGAAAGUGCAAACCUGGCUGCCGGCCUCCUUCAUACCACGUUAGGUUAGGCAGGACUUGUGUCUGAAAAGCACCAUUGUUAGUUUUACCAAAAAUGCACUGCUGUCAUCACGACCAAUCAGAAUGUCACCCUAGCUGGAGAUCUGCUCCUCCUGGCCUUUCCUUGGGAUUUUCAGAAAAGCUCAGAAAACAAUUUACAAUAAAACUUAAUUACUUUUAG